UCCGGUGGCAAUAGCGGAGGUUAAAAACCCGUUCCCAUACCGAACACGGAAGUGAAGCCCUCCAGCGCCGAUGGUACUGAUUA
This 83-nucleotide ribosomal RNA is filed under the name Thermoanaerobacterium sp. R66. The record is from RNAcentral. Lineage: Bacteria; Bacillati; Bacillota; Clostridia; Thermoanaerobacterales; Thermoanaerobacteraceae.